GCCUGGGUGGCUCAGUCGGUUAAGCAUCUGACUCCAGCUCAGGUCACGAUCCCACAGUUCGUGAGUUUGAGCCUCAUGUCAGGCU
RNAcentral lists this transfer RNA (85 nucleotides) under Felis catus (domestic cat). It matches the Rfam family "tRNA". From Rfam's summary of the family: Transfer RNA (tRNA) molecules are approximately 80 nucleotides in length. Their secondary structure includes four short double-helical elements and three loops (D, anti-codon, and T loops). The record is from Rfam by way of RNAcentral. Lineage: Eukaryota; Metazoa; Chordata; Mammalia; Carnivora; Felidae.